CACGUAGGAGGCGAACGUUAUCCGGAUUUAUUGGGCGUAAAGCGCGUGUAGGUGGUUCCGUAAGUAGGGCGUGAAAGCUCCUGGCUCAACCGGGAGAGGCCGUUCUAUACUGCAGAGCUAGAGGAUGGUAGAGGGAGGUGGAAUUCCAGGUGUAGCGGUGGAAUGCGCAGAUAUCUGGAGGAACACCAGUGGCGAAGGCGGCCUCCUGGACCAUUCCUGACACUGAGACGCGAAAGCUAGGGUAGCAAACGGGAUUAGAUACCCCUGUAGUCCCU
Molecule: ribosomal RNA, 275 nt
Filed under: uncultured prokaryote
Description: partial 16S ribosomal RNA
Rfam family: Bacterial small subunit ribosomal RNA
Source: RNAcentral